This is a long non-coding RNA of Amphimedon queenslandica, 270 nucleotides long. RefSeq lists it as uncharacterized. NCBI's taxonomy places the organism in Eukaryota, Metazoa, Porifera, Demospongiae, Haplosclerida, Niphatidae. The transcript is spliced from 3 exons. The record is from RefSeq and is a predicted model, not a curated record.
CAUGUAUCAUUUUGUUUUUACAGCUGUCAGAGUUAAGUGGAGUUCCUGUUGAGUAUAUCUAUUAUUCAGUGGGAAUAUCAUUUCCAGUUGAGAUAUCAUGUCUUGAUAUUGAGAAAAUGCUGAACUGGUAUUCCAUCACUUCAUACAGAUACUCAUCAGGACUAUAUGAUGGAUGUGUCAUAUAUUACAAAGACAAUAGAGAGAAGAUGAAGAAGUUAACAGAUAAAGAGAGAUCAGAAAUACAAGAGGCAGAGAGAGCAAGGUCAGUAG